CCAGACUCCUACGGGAGGCAGCAGUGGGGAAUAUUGCACAAUGGGGGAAACCCUGAUGCAGCGACGCCGCGUGAAGGAAGAAGUAUCUCGGUAUGUAAACUUCUAUCAGCAGGGAAGAAAACAGACGGUACCUGACUAAGAAGCCCCGGCCAACUACGUGCCAGCAGCCGCGGUAAUACGUAGGGGGCAAGCGUUAUCCGGAUUUACUGGGUGUAAAGGGGGCGCAGACGGCCAUGGCAAGCCCGGUGUGAAAGGCAGGGGCAUAACCCCUGGACUGCACUGGGAACUGUUAGGCUGGAGUGCCGGAGAGGUAGGCGGAAUUCCUAGUGUAGCGGUGAAAUGCGUAGAUAUUAGGAGGAACACCAGUGGCGAAGGCGGCCUACUGGACGGUGACUGACGCUGAGGCCCGAAGGCGUGGGGAGCAAACAGGAUUAGAUACCCGAGUA
This 446-nucleotide ribosomal RNA is filed under the name uncultured bacterium. RNAcentral describes it as "bacterial SSU rRNA". It matches the Rfam family "Bacterial small subunit ribosomal RNA", at positions 331 to 792 of the family's 1533-position model. The record is from RNAcentral.